Non-coding RNA from Vicia faba (fava bean), 219 nucleotides. The record is from the annotation of a GenBank genome assembly. Lineage: Eukaryota; Viridiplantae; Streptophyta; Magnoliopsida; Fabales; Fabaceae.
AUGACUGGCGAAGAAUUCUCAGGUCCUCCCGGGCCAAAACUUAUGCGUCUCGUCUACUUCGUCGGCGCCGCAGUGGCCUGCACCGUCGCAAUAAACAAAUGGCGCGAGUUUGAAAGCAAGUCAAUUAUUCAACAGAAGGAGAAGCAGUCAGGAGUCAAGGUAGUCGCGGAGAUCAGUAAUUCAUCGGAUUCUGUUGGUGUUCACAAAGCUCUCAAAUAA